CGCGAAGCGAGAUUUCUUAUCUGGACCAAGUGAUGUCAAAUGUCUUGGUCAGUUUCCUCCUCUGUAAAAUGGGGAUAAUCGGAGAACCUGACUGAGUUGGUUGCUCUGAGGAUCAAACGUAGUAAGGUUUGUGUAGCGCUUACUUAGAACCGGACCUGGCACACAGUAAGUGCUCAAUAAACGUACAUUACCAGUGACUGGUGGGGAAGGUGUGGAUGAGCCCAGGGUCCUCAUUGUAGCCUGGGGGAGCCUGGUCCCUCUCCCAGCUGCGGAAAGGGGCGUGGUCGCGCCCAGGGGGCGUGGCCCAGGCUUCAAGGACAGACCAAUGGGGGCGCCGAAGGGCGCGGCCCUGACCGGCAUGGGCGUGGCUUUGAGCGGGUGGGAGGGGCCAGGCCGCUGUGGGAGCCUCCGGGAAGAAGAUGCUCGGGCCAGCAGCCACCGCCAGCCCUGCCGCCGCUGCCGCCCGCACCCGCCGCCCCCCGGGUCCCCACUAGCGGCCGCCUCCGCCUCCUACCUCCGGUCCCGCUCCUCCGGCCCCCCCGCCCCGAGUAGGGUCUGGGGGGCUCGGCCCUCCGGCCGGGGGAGCAAAGAGGGGGGUCCCGACCCCCCAGUGGCGCGGCCGGUCCCUGGCCUCGGUGAUCUUGAGAGAGACCCCACCCCUCAGUUCUCUCUGGGCCCUGUCGGGGACUCCCCCUUGCCCUCCCGUCCGGCUCACACCCGCUCUCCAGGCUCUGUCAGCCCCCCAGAACCAGCUCCCUCCCUUCUUCCCUCUCCGGGGUUCCCCCUCCCCCAUCCCUCCGCCGCCGCCCCCUCCCCCCCCCACACCCCCUUCCCCCCCCCCCCCCCCCCCCCCCCCCCCCCCCCCCCCCCCCCGACCAUGAGGAUGAUGGCCGCCGGCGCGGUGCACGGCCUCUUCACGGCCUCCGCGGCCCCGCAGCCGCCGCCGCCCCCGCCGCCGCCGCCGCCGCAACCCCAGCCUCCCCAGCAGCCGUCGCCGCCGCCACAGCAGCCGCCGCCGCCGCCGCCGCAGCCGCCGCAGCAGCA
RNAcentral lists this long non-coding RNA (1044 nucleotides) under Panthera leo (lion). RNAcentral describes it as "lncRNA (ENSPLOG00000021844.1)". Lineage: Eukaryota; Metazoa; Chordata; Mammalia; Carnivora; Felidae. The record is from RNAcentral.